GGAGAUUAACAUGCCAUUAUCUUGAAUCUAAAAAACUUCAUAUCAAACUCUUAGCAGAAUUCAAGCGACAGCCAAUAUUGAUUAAUUUUACACAAUACCAAUAACAUGAGAAAGCUAAAAUAACAUGCAUAAGAUUAGACUAUUAAAAAAUACGAAAGAUCUGGAAGAAAUAAGGAAAAAAAGCUCUCCAUCUUGUUGCCUCAUUCAAAAUUGCACAUUACACUUCACGUAUUGUCCAUGGUUUGAAGAAUCUUGGAUUUGAAAAGAUAAACCAAGUAGAAUGAAGAAUUAGUAGCAGCAACAGAUCAACUCAGCAAUCCGAAAAAAAAAAGAACUUCUUUCAAACCAGUAUACAACCCAGAUGAGCAUAAAUCUUUGGAGUUUUCCAAAAAUUCUAAUUAACUAUGAGGUUUAAGCGUAGAAUCAAAGCCAAUUUCAACCAAAGAAGUGCGGGGAAUUUCAGUGUUCUUUUAAAGUUUCAGCUGUUUCUCAAUUUUUAAUAUUGUAUUCUAUAAAAUAUGACUUGAGAAGAAAGAAACAAUGCCUUUUGUAGAGGACCUCUAGGCAGCAGAACUGGUUUCAUAUUUUACCUAUUACCCCUUUUUUAAUUUUUAGUUUGUUCAUUUUAGACCCUAAAUUUCUACACCAACUACUACACUAACCCAACCCACUCUUUCAUGGAAGCUUCCCGAAGUAGUUACACAAGAAUCCCCUUAUCCCUUUCGCUAUACUAUUCUUCAUAUGUUUACUAAUUACUUUUAGCAAAUCAAGCCUUCAACAAAAUCGACCAAAGGUCUUUGGGCUACUGCGUUAGUAGGUUCUAACAGCCUUUUGGCUUCUGAACCAUUAAAGCUCAAUUUAUGAUCCAAAAGACCAUAGACCACAAAUAGGCAAGCCUAAAAAAUUCUGAAAUUACGGGCAUAAAGAAUUCUAAUGGAACAAGACAAAAGAAAAAAAAUGAAAGUGGGAUAGCAGGCUAACAUGAAAUCAAAGGUACUGAAGAAAAGUUUUAAUUAAAUUAUUAUGGUGAUAUCACUAAUAUGACCUAAAUCUAAACAUACAACAGAGAUAGACUCGAACCAACAAAAGAAGGAGAAGGAAAUAAGAAGAAAUAAAAAUAUGCGACUUAACAUGUAUACAAAAUGAACAGAAAAAAUAAGAGAUAAGAGGAAAGAAAAUAGAAGAAGAUGAGUAUGAGAAUAAACAAAGACAAAAAAUGAGGAAAAUACUGAAAUACCUAGAAUAAACAGGCAAAAAAUGAUUUGAACGGACUUCUAGUGUUUUUCUAUUUGAGGCAAAAAAGGAGUGUUAGUCGGCUUGUUCUUGUGAGAACAAAAGUCCAACAGUCAUUUAUGACCAAAAUUAUUUGCAAUGAUUAGAGAACAAUGAAACCAUACCAUUUUAAUGAGGAUUCAAAGACGUGAACGGGUUUAGGGUUCCAUUUUAAGGUAUGAAAUUAAAGAAAAAUGGAAUAUAAUUUCGGAGAAAUUGAUGGUGGUUUAGUAUUUGAGGGAUUAUGGGGGAGCGUGGUGAAUUUUUGGGGUUGAUUGGAGCUUCAAACCUUUCGAAAUGGCGGAAUUUGAAGGAAGUAUCAGGGUUUGAACGAAGGCAAUGAGAGAGACAGAAGAGAGAUGUUUAGACUAGGUUGUCUUUAGGACUUUCUAAUAUAUUUAAUUAAAAUUGGGAAAGUAUUUAGGGUCG
This 1701-nucleotide long non-coding RNA is filed under the name Nicotiana benthamiana. Its description in RNAcentral is "long non-coding RNA (NBEN_LNC022736)". The record is from RNAcentral. Lineage: Eukaryota; Viridiplantae; Streptophyta; Magnoliopsida; Solanales; Solanaceae.